GAUGAACGCUAGCGGCAGGCUUAAUACAUGCAAGUCGAGGGGCAGCAUGUUCCGUAGCAAUACGGGAUGAUGGCGACCGGCAAACGGGUGCGGAACACGUACGCAACCUACCCAAACUGAUGAAUAGCCCUCCGAAAGGAGGAUUAAUACAUCGUAACUUAAUGAAGUGGCAUCACUUUAUUAAUAUAGCUCCGGCGGUUUUGGAUGGGCGUGCGCCUGANAGGUAGUUGGCGGGGUACGGCCACCACNCUGCGAUCAGUAACUGGUGUGAGAGCACGACCAGUCACACGGGCAC
RNAcentral lists this ribosomal RNA (295 nucleotides) under uncultured bacterium. Its description in RNAcentral is "partial 16S ribosomal RNA". It matches the Rfam family "Bacterial small subunit ribosomal RNA", at positions 28 to 319 of the family's 1533-position model. The record is from RNAcentral.